This 226-nucleotide long non-coding RNA is filed under the name Elaeis guineensis (African oil palm). Its description in RNAcentral is "long non-coding RNA (EGUI_LNC035703)". Lineage: Eukaryota; Viridiplantae; Streptophyta; Magnoliopsida; Arecales; Arecaceae. The record is from RNAcentral.
CUAGCUAAAAUCCUAGAUAUCAAUCGAUUAAUCGAAACUAAUUACAUAGACUGACCCACAAACAUAAGAAUCAUUCUUAAUUUAGAAAAUUAAGCAAUAUUCUAUAUCAGGUUAUUCUAAUAUUAACAACAUGUCCAACCCAUUAGUCAACGAGCCAUACUUGAUGAAUAGAUGGACAAUGACAAUAAAGAUAGGUGCUAUAUGUUGAAGUUCAUGUUAGAUGAAC